UACGUAGGGUGCAAGCGUUGUCCGGAAUUAUUGGGCGUAAAGAGCUCGUAGGCGGUUUGUCGCGUCUGCUGUGAAAACUCAGGGCUUAACCCUGAGCCUGCAGUGGGUACGGGCAGACUAGAGUGUGGUAGGGGAGAUCGGAAUUCCUGGUGUAGCGGUGGAAUGCGCAGAUAUCAGGAGGAACACCGGUGGCGAAGGCGCCACUCUGGGCCGAAACUGACGCUGAGGAGCGAAAGCGUGGGUAGCAAACAGG
This 253-nucleotide ribosomal RNA is filed under the name uncultured bacterium. RNAcentral's name for it is "partial 16S ribosomal RNA". It matches the Rfam family "Bacterial small subunit ribosomal RNA", at positions 524 to 776 of the family's 1533-position model. The record is from RNAcentral.